CCUACGGGCGGCAGCAGUGGGGAAUAUUGGACAAUGGGGGGAACCCUGAUCCAGCCAUGCCGCGUGUGUGAAGAAGGCCCUCGGGUUGUAAAGCACUUUCAGUGAGGAAGAAUGCCUGGUGGUUAAUACCCAUCAGGAAAGACAUCACUCACAGAAGAAGCACCGGCUAACUCCGUGCCAGCAGCCGCGGUAAUACGGAGGGUGCGAGCGUUAAUCGGAAUUACUGGGCGUAAAGCGCGCGUAGGUGGCUUGAUAAGCCGGUUGUGAAAGCCCCGGGCUCAACCUGGGAACGGCAUCCGGAACUGUCAAGCUAGAGUGCAGGAGAGGAAGGUAGAAUUCCCGGUGUAGCGGUGAAAUGCGUAGAGAUCGGGAGGAAUACCAGUGGCGAAGGCGGCCUUCUGGACUGACACUGACACUGAGGUGCGAAAGCGUGGGUAGCAAACAGGAUUAGAUACCCCUGUAGUC
RNAcentral lists this ribosomal RNA (465 nucleotides) under Vreelandella stevensii. RNAcentral's name for it is "partial 16S ribosomal RNA". It matches the Rfam family "Bacterial small subunit ribosomal RNA", at positions 338 to 795 of the family's 1533-position model. Lineage: Bacteria; Pseudomonadati; Pseudomonadota; Gammaproteobacteria; Oceanospirillales; Halomonadaceae. The record is from RNAcentral.